ACGGAGGAUGCGAGCGUUAUCCGGAUUUAUUGGGUUUAAAGGGUGCGCAGGCGGCGUGUCAAGUCAGCGGUAAAAUGUCGGGGCUCAACCCCGGCCGGCCGUUGAAACUGGCGUGCUCGAGUUGGAGAGAAGUAUGCGGAAUUCGUGGUGUAGCGGUGAAAUGCAUAGAUAUCACGAAGAACCCCGAUUGCGAAGGCAGCAUACCGGCUCCACACUGACGCUGAGGCACGAAAGCGUGGGUAUCGAA
RNAcentral lists this ribosomal RNA (247 nucleotides) under uncultured bacterium. RNAcentral describes it as "partial 16S ribosomal RNA". It matches the Rfam family "Bacterial small subunit ribosomal RNA", at positions 525 to 772 of the family's 1533-position model. The record is from RNAcentral.